AGUCGGCCGCAAGGUUGAAACUCAAAGGAAUUGACGGGGGACCCGCACAAGCGGUGGAUGAUGUGGUUUAAUUCGAUGCAACGCGAAAAACCUUACCCACCUUUGACAUGUACGGAAGUUGCCAGAGAUGGCUUCGGUGCUCGAAAGAGAACCGUAACACAGGUGCUGCAUGGCUGUCGUCAGCUCGUGUCGUGAGAUGUUGGGUUAAGUCCCGCAACGAGCGCAACCCUUGUCAUUAGUUGCUACGAAAGGGCACUCUAAUGAGACUGCCGGUGAUAAACCGGAGGAAGGUGGGGAUGACGUCAAGUCCUCAUGGCCCUUAUAGGUGGGGCUACACACGUCAUACAAUGGCUGGUACAGAGGGUUGCCAACCCGCGAGGGGGAGCUAAUCCCAUAAAACCAGUCGUAGUCCGGAUCGCAGUCUGCAACUCGACUGCGUGAAGUCGGAAUCGCUAGUAAUCGCGGAUCAGAAUGUCGCGGUGAAUACGUUCCCGGAUCUUGUACACACCGCCCGUCACACCAUGGGAGCGGGUUCUGCCAGAAGUAGUUAGCCUAACCGCAAGGAGGGCGAUUACCACGGCAGGGUUCGUGACUGGGGUG
RNAcentral lists this ribosomal RNA (600 nucleotides) under uncultured bacterium. RNAcentral describes it as "bacterial SSU rRNA". It matches the Rfam family "Bacterial small subunit ribosomal RNA", at positions 880 to 1482 of the family's 1533-position model. The record is from RNAcentral.